RNAcentral lists this ribosomal RNA (891 nucleotides) under Triticum aestivum (bread wheat). RNAcentral describes it as "partial small subunit ribosomal RNA". The record is from RNAcentral. Lineage: Eukaryota; Viridiplantae; Streptophyta; Magnoliopsida; Poales; Poaceae.
AUGGCCGGCGGCGCGGCGGACGAGCGACAGAUCCCCGUGGAUCCGUCCGUCCUCGAGCACCACCCUGAGUCCCCUCCUCGUCCGCUGCCGCAGCCGCAUGGCGCCCGGGAAGUUUCCUCGCCGCCGCUCCCAGAGGAGCUCCUGCUGGACAUCUUCCGCCGCAUUCCCGACCAGACCGACCUCGUCCUCACCUCCGCCGCCUGCGUCACAUUCCAUCGCCUCAUCACCGACCGCUCCUUCCUCCGGCAGUACCGCAGGCUCCACCCGCCGCCCCUCCUCGGCUUCCUCCAGUACGGAGACAAUGUCUUCCACCCCGCGGUCCCGCCUCACCCCUCCGCGCCGGCAGCUCGGGUCGUCGCCCUCGCCGGCGACUUCUCCUUCUCCUUCGUCCCCGCCCCCGACCCCGCUCACCGCUGGGCCGUCCGGGACAGCCGAGACGGCCGCGUCUUCCUUGAAGCAAGCCCCCGGGAAGGUUAUAGUGCCCGUGGAGUCGUCUUCACAGAGUUGGCGGUGUGCGACCCGUUGCACCGGCAGUAUCUCCUGCUUCCCCCAAUCCCCGGUGACCUAGCAGCUACCGUGGAAGACCCACUCAUGCGAAUACGGCCGCAUUCCAGCGAGACUUUCUUCGCUCCGCAAGGCGACGAGGCAGCAACUGCUGAUGAGACGUCAUUCAGAGUGAUCUGGAUGGUCCAGUGCGAAGCUAAGAUCGUGGGCUUUGUCUUCUCUUCCAGCACUAGGCAAUGGCGAGCCAUUCCAUCCCAGAGUUGGGCCAAUUUGUUAGCUGGCUUCGUGUCAUCGACUGGGAUGGCACUCUUCUACGGGCACUCUUCUACGGGCGCCAAUGUACGUGUGACUACUUUUACUGGCUGCCAAACUGUCAGUACGAUUUGA